CCUACGGGAGGCAGCAGUGGGGGAUAUUGCACAAUGGGGGGAACCCUGAUGCAGCGACGCCGCGUGAAGGAAGAAGUCUCUCGGUAUGUAAACUUCUAUCAGCAGGGAAGAAAAUUACGGUACCUGACUAAGAAGCCCCUGCUAACUACGUGCCAGCCGCCGCGGUCCUACGUAGGGGGCAAGCGUUAUCCGGAUUUACUGGGUGUAACGGGAGCGUAGGCGGCAGUGCAAGUCAGAAGUGAAAGCCCGGGGCUCAACUCCGGGACUGCUUUUGAAACUGUACAGCUGGAUUGCAGGAGAGGCGAGUGGAAUUCCUAGUGUAGCGGUGAAAUGCGUAGAUAUUAGGAGGAACACCAGUGGCGAAGGCGGCUUGCUGGACUGUAAAUGACGCUGAGGCUCGAAAGCGUGGGGAGCAAACAGGAUUAGAUACCCUUGUAGUC
This 440-nucleotide ribosomal RNA is filed under the name uncultured bacterium. RNAcentral's name for it is "partial 16S ribosomal RNA". It matches the Rfam family "Bacterial small subunit ribosomal RNA", at positions 338 to 795 of the family's 1533-position model. The record is from RNAcentral.